GAUGAACGCUGGCGGCGUGCCUAAUACAUGCAAGUCGAGCGAACGGACGAGAAGCUUGCUUCUCUGAUGUUAGCGGCGGACGGGUGAGUAACACGUGGAUAACCUACCUAUAAGGCUGGGAUAACUUCGGGAAACCGGAGCUAAUACCGGAUAAUAUUUUGAACCGCAUGGUUCAAAAGUGAAAGACGGUCUUGCUGUCACUUAUAGAUGGAUCCGCGCUGCAUUAGCUAGUCGGUAAGGUAACGGCUUACCAAGGCAACGAUGCAUAGCCGACCUGAGAGGGUGAUCGGCCACACUGGAACUGAGACACGGUCCAGACUCCUACGGGAGGCAGCAGUAGGGAAUCUUCCGCAAUGGGCGAAAGCCUGACGGAGCAACGCCGCGUGAGUGAUGAAGGUCUUCGGAUCGUAAAACUCUGUUAUUAGGGAAGAACAUAUGUGUAAGUAACUGUGCACAUCUUGACGGUACCUAAUCAGAAAGCCACGGCUAACUACGUG
RNAcentral lists this ribosomal RNA (497 nucleotides) under uncultured bacterium. RNAcentral's name for it is "partial 16S ribosomal RNA". It matches the Rfam family "Bacterial small subunit ribosomal RNA", at positions 28 to 507 of the family's 1533-position model. The record is from RNAcentral.